Molecule: long non-coding RNA, 1677 nt
Organism: Equus caballus (horse)
Lineage: Eukaryota; Metazoa; Chordata; Mammalia; Perissodactyla; Equidae
Source: Ensembl
GGGCUCUGCCUUAAACUGGAUUCUCUAAGGAAGGACACAGAGGCGCCGGCGGUCGGACGGAGUGGCAGGAGCAGAGGCUGCUCAGCAGAGCCUUCGUCCCACCCCGGGUCUGUGCCCGGGGAGGGAGGGGAAUGGGGGCCCCAGAAGAUGCGCCUCGUCCUGACCCCUGGCGCCUGUGGCUGUGACCUCACUUGGAAAAAGAGUCUUUGAGGACUGAGAGACUCGCUGUCUUGUCUGUGCCGGCGGCCGCAGGAACCAGCUCAGAAGGUCCCAGGGAGCCAGUGCUGCCAUCAGCGGACGCCGCCUCUCAGGGCCCACGGAGCUCGCACUUGGAGGGGAGCCCUGCCUGCUGUGCUGUGCAGGGACCCUCGAACGUGGCCCUGCUCCCCUCUCAGCCCGACUCGCUCCCCACGGAAGCCAGUCCUCUGCUUGCUGUUGGAGUCCCGACACCUCUUCCAGGAAGCCCUCCUGGAAGUCUGACCCACCAGAGCCAUUGCCAGCCCCUUUCUCCUGCCCUCCCCAGGCCCCCAGAGUCCAGGGGACCCACAGCAGAUUCUCCAGGCCCCCUGAUGGUCUUCGCCCCUGUCCGGAGGAAAAGACACCUCGCUCAGACACCGGCUGAGCAGGACCAAGAUGGGCCAGUGGCUGGAAGCCUGGGAAGCGUGCUCAGAGGCGGGGACUGCAAGCUGAGGGGACAGGCUCCGAGAGGCAAAGUCACCUGCUCGGGGUCUCCCAGCGGAAAGUGGCAAGGGCAGGAUUUGAACCCAGGCUGCCCUGUCUUCAGAGCUUCCAAAUGUCACCAAGCUGCCCCUCUGAGGCUGCCUCUGUGUCGGGGCCCUGGCUGCCCCAUCGCCGAGGGCUUACUUCAAAGAUGAGAGCUGAGGAGCCCCCCGCCCCCAACAGUCGAUGUCGCCCAAGGUCCCGAAAAGCGCAGGCCUCUCCAGGCGUCUGUCUGGCUUAACCGCCUGGACUCAGCUGCACAUCCAGAUGUGGGGAAAACCCUGUGCACCAAAGUGCACAUAUCGGCGAAAGCGUGUGACCAGAAGGUCCGCGAGCUCCAGCAAGACGGGGUCCCAGCAACGCUGAGAUGAUGAGGUUGGCGUGUGGCCGGGGUCCGCGCGCUCCUGAGGAGUCGAGCUGGCUGAUGCUUCCGGCCCUCACUUAUCGUCCAUCAACUCGUGGUCCAGACACAGCAAUAACAAGACGGGCCGUGCCAAACGGGCACAGGGAGCUGCCCAGGGGAAGCGAGGGCCUGCAGAAGGCGAGGGAUGGCAGGGAGCCCGCCCCCGGAGGCUGUGCCUGGUCCCUCUCUGCAAGAUGCAUCACCCACUGUUUCCUGUCUGUAAUAGGAAAAAAAAAAAGCUAAAUAUUUAAAACUUCUCCCCAAAUAUAGGAAAGACGGAGAACCUUUUUUGGUCAGGGUCCCCAUGGGAGGCCCACUCUGCCGUCUGAGUGGGUGACCUGAGGUCUGAGCUGGAGAAAAAGUUGCCCCAUGCGACCCUGGGCCUGUGAGGCUGGGGGUCCGGUGCCACCCCGAGGCGCUGUGGCCCUGGCCAGGCGAGUGGCCGGCGGGCAGGGCAGGCUCAGAGCCAACCCAGCUCCCCUCCUGUCCCCCACCUCCUCCCGGCACCUCCCGGUGGGCUGAACCCGCUGGGAGCCAGGGGACCAGGGAGCCGA